ACGCUCGACACCUACGUGAGGCAGCAGUGAGGAAUAUUGGUCAAUGGGCGCAGGCCUGAACCAGCCAAGUAGCGUGAAGGAUGACUGCCCUAUGGGUUGUAAACUUCUUUUAUAUGGGAAUAAAGUUUUCCACGUGUGGAAUUUUGUAUGUACCAUAUGAAUAAGGAUCGGCUAACUCCAUGCCAGCAGCCGCGGUAAUCUGAGCGGGCUGGCAAGGC
Molecule: ribosomal RNA, 218 nt
Filed under: uncultured bacterium
Lineage: Bacteria
Description: partial 16S ribosomal RNA
Rfam family: Bacterial small subunit ribosomal RNA
Source: RNAcentral